Long non-coding RNA from Balaenoptera musculus (blue whale), 1269 nucleotides. RefSeq lists it as uncharacterized. The record is from RefSeq and is a predicted model, not a curated record. The transcript has 7 exons. NCBI's taxonomy places the organism in Eukaryota, Metazoa, Chordata, Mammalia, Artiodactyla, Balaenopteridae.
GAGCCGGUAGACUGGCGUGCGGCCGGGCGGAGGCGGGCGGAGGUGGUCGGUCCGCGCCAGGGCCACGCGUUUCCGGUCCCCCGCCUUCCCAGGACAAGUGCUCCCCGAGUACCAGCGGCGCGGAGUGGCGGGUGUGGGCCAGGGGCCCGGAGCGGGGAUGCCGCGGCGGGGCGGAGGCGGUGCUCCCUCCGCGUAGGUCCCCAAGAGCUGGACGCUGCCACCGGAAAGGCUCAGCUGGUGCGCGGUGGGGCCGGAGAAUUCCUGUUUUUCAGAGCUUCCCGGGUGAUUCCCGCCGCCAGCCACCGCAUUCGGGACUGGGCUUCAUUCCCUGAUCCUCUCCUGGACCCAGACAACUGAAACGGACCAUGCUUGGGCAUCCUCUCCAGCUCCACAGUUCCCCCAGAUGCUGUCUUUGUUGAUGCCUCUCAUCUCUUUAUAUUGUGCCUACUGUGGAUUUUUAUGAGAUUUCUGAAUAAGAACCCUAAGGAGAACGUGGGUGCAAAUGGCAGAGAUCUCAGGAGCAAGAGUGGCCACUGGCAUGAACAAGAGGCAAAAGGCUCCAUCAUGGCUCAGCAUGGCACUGCUCCCAGCCCACAGACUGAAGCAGACACCUAAUCACAAUUGCUACCUAACCACGACCUUCUUAUCUCAUUGAGGACUCUGAGAGGCAAGUUUCUCCCUAUUCUUUUAUAGAAACAUAAAAUGCCAGCAAAGCAUGAUUUCUACCCAAAAGAGCGCUAAACAGAGCUUGCAGAUGUUUCAGGCUUCUCCCCUGAUACUUCUGGAGAAGGGCACACAGACCUUGGCAUACCUUGCUUUAAAAGCAGGCAAUAGCAAACAGCGCGUUCAUUCCACCUACUUCCCAGAAGGGAAGAUCCUUAUGUAAUGGGUCAGAUGGGCCUUUGGUCCCAUGUGGAGAGUCUCCCUUAGGGACUUUUAUAUUACUGUAUCCUGGGGGUUUUGUGGGUAUUCGUUUCUGCAUGUCAAGGACUUCACAGUACACAUUCACAUGGAAAUUACUAAUUAAAAGUAGCAGUGAUAAUAACAUUUAGAGUGCUGUUUUCAUCAGUGGUUUCAUUUUACUUAGGACACCUCCUUUGCUGAAACCAUAGAUUCUAAUUUGCUCUGUCAAAGUUAUCACUAGAAAAAUAAGAUAUUCUUAGCACUUAAACUUUAGGAAAUUUCCUCUAUUACUCUUCUCCAUUUGAUUUAAUGGACUAUAUGUUACUUUCAACAUGUAAGUUGGGACAUCACAAAAUAAACUUAACC